This 597-nucleotide ribosomal RNA is filed under the name uncultured bacterium. Its description in RNAcentral is "bacterial SSU rRNA". It matches the Rfam family "Bacterial small subunit ribosomal RNA", at positions 338 to 949 of the family's 1533-position model. The record is from RNAcentral.
CCUACGGGAGGCAGCAGUGGGGAAUCUUGCGCAAUGGGCGAAAGCCUGACGCAGCCAUGCCGCGUGAAUGAUGAAGGUCUUAGGAUUGUAAAAAUUCUUUCACCGGGGGACGAUAAUGACGGUACCCGGAGAAGAAGCCCCGGCUAACUUCGUGCCAGCAGCCGCGGUAAUACGAAGGGGGCUAGCGUUGCUCGGAAUUACUGGGCGUAAAGGGAGCGUGGGCGGAUAGUUUAGUCAGAGGUGAAACGCCCGAGGGCUCAACCUUGGAAUUGCCUUUGAUACUGGCUAUCUUGAGUAUGGGAGAGGUUAGCGGAACUCCGAGUGUAGAGGUGAAAUUCGUAGAUAUUCGGAAGAACACCAGUGGCGAAGGCGGCUAACUGGCCCAUUACUGACGCUGAGGCUCGAAAGCGUGGGGAGCAAACAGGAUUAGAUACCCUGGUAGUCCACGCCGUAAACGAUGAGUGCUAGUUGUCGGCAUGCAUGCAUGUCGGUGACGCAGCUAACGCAUUAAGCACUCCGCCUGGGGAAGUCGGUCGCAAGAUUAAAACUCAAAUGAAUUGACCGGNGNGAGACGNGCGAGACGACGACGAGGGAGAG